Non-coding RNA from Castor canadensis (American beaver), 1353 nucleotides. Lineage: Eukaryota; Metazoa; Chordata; Mammalia; Rodentia; Castoridae. The record is from RefSeq and is a predicted model, not a curated record.
CUGAAGAGACAGCCUUGCUUUCGGACUGAACUCCAUAGCCCUAUCAUGGAGGCUGUGUACCUGGUAGUGAAUGGGGUGGGUCUGGUGCUGGACGUGCUGACCUUGGUGUUGGAUUUCAACUUCCUGCUGGUGUCCUCCCUCCUGGCUUCCCUGGCCUGGCUCCUGGACUUCAUCUACAGCCUGCCAUACACGGUACUGACUAGUCUUCUGCACUUGGGCAGAGGCGUCCUGCUUUCACCGCUGGCCGUGAUUGAAGCCUUGGUUCUGUUCACCUAUGGAGACUUGCAGGCCUCGUGUACCCUGCUGUGUAACUGCUGUUCUGGCCUGGAGAGCCUAAAGCUCCUGGGGCACCUGGCCUCUCAUGGGGCGCUGCGGAGUCGGGAGACACCGCACUGAGGUGUCCUCAAUGUGGUCUCCAACAGCCAUGCUUUGCUGCGCCAGGCCUGUGACAUCUGUGCCAUUGCCAUGAGCCGAUAACAGCCUAGUCAACAUCUGCCUCAUUGGCACACAGAACCUCUUCUCCCUGGUGCUGGCCGUGUGAGAUGCAGGGAUGGGACCUAUGUGGAGGAUACAGAUGUGGUGGCCGCUUUCCUAGCCCACAUUUCCAGCAGUGCUGUGGCUAUGACCAUCCUUCUUUGGACCCCUUGCCAACUAGCUCUGGAACUGCUGGCCUGAGCUGUCUGACAUCUUACUGGUUUGGUGUUGGCUGGCUUGUGUGCUGGCAGUGACUGACUGUGUUGUAUCCGGACCUCAUUUUGAGGCUGGUCACCCAAGCUUUCAGUCAGCUUCAUGCUCGGCCAUCCUACCAUGGACUCCGAGAGGAUGUUGUGAGGCUAUCUCGCUUAGCACUGGGUGUGGAGGCCUGGCACCGAAUCUGGAGCAGUAGCCUCCAGUUGGCAAGCUGAUCGAAUUGAGGAGGGGCACCUGGGACCCCCCAGGGUGUUCCUAGGAGAGUGUUUUCAGUCAGGACCUAGAGACAGGACACACAUCCAGAAACAGUGCCCAGAGCAGGGGCAGAAGAGGAGGAAAUCAGGACCAUCAGAAUUGAAUCUGCCGGGCCGGGAGAGGCUCAAUGAGGAGGAGCCGACAGCUGGACAAAACCCAUGGAAGUUGCUAAAGGAGCAAGAGGAGAAGAAGUCCGUCAUCUGCCAGGACCAGUGCAAGACCGUGCUGCUCCUGCCCUAUCAGCACCUGUGCCUGUGCCAGGCCUGCACUGAAAUCCUUAUGCGCUACCCUGUCUACCACCGCAACUGUUCACUCUGCCGCGUGGCAUCCUGCAAACCUUCUAAAGGCAUCCUUCUACUUCUAAAGACUCCCUGCCUGCCUGCCCACCCUCCACGCAGACUGCGCUAG